Molecule: long non-coding RNA, 744 nt
Organism: Mastomys coucha (southern multimammate mouse)
Lineage: Eukaryota; Metazoa; Chordata; Mammalia; Rodentia; Muridae
Exons: 4
Source: RefSeq, a predicted model, not a curated record
GGCAGCCGGCUUGUGCGCAGCUGCUGCUCCUUGCUGGAAAGCUGAUCACUGCACCACUGCUUUGGGUCCGGGGCGGCGGCAGCAGCAGCAGCAGCUGAACAGCCAGGGGUCGCGGGCAAGCACCAGCAGAAACUUGUGUAGGCUGCGUGCUAAAGGGUCUUCCUCCUCUGGUGCCCGUGCGCCCGCACAGUGUUUUAAAAAGCUGCCCUGCUGAUGGAGCAGAAAUAACAAGCUCCGGCUCCCGGCUCCCGUGAGGUAUAGCGCCUGGAGGAAAGCGACUGUCACCGAGCUCUCCUGACCAUGUUUUCUUGUGAUCACGUUUUCCCAUUUCUUGGGACUCUGGGGUGCCCCGCUCUGGACCUGAGGAAGACAGCAGUGACUAGGUUUGCUCACUGCUUUCAAGGCAGAAGCUCCCAAUAACCUGAGAUCUUGAGAAGAGAACAACCACAAAAUAAAAACCAUCUCCCAGACCCUUUCCUUGGCUGGUUCUUCCUCUCUCUAUGGGACAAUGGCUUUUGGAAGGAGCACAGAAUUAGGACUUGCUGCACACCAAAGAAAGGAAUGAAGAAAGGAAGAAAGGAAGGAAGGAACAGAGGAAGAAAAAGCAAGAAAGCAAGCAAAAGCUAAAAGAGUUCUGGAUCUUUGAGGAACCACUGCAGUAUGUGAAAAAGACAUACACUUUCCUCCCCAUCCUGAGAAAGUCACUGCCUAGGAACCUGACUCCUACUCAUGCACUUGACUCUC